CACAGAGGAUUCCUCAUCGUCACACAGAGUCUGUGGCAGAGCAGGUCUCUGCGUCCCAGAGGAAGUCACAAGCCCGUCCCCCUCCCCUUAAGCACACUGAUAGGUCAGCUGCAGCUGACUUGAACCCACAAGAUCUGCGAUGAGCUCCCCAAACUCCUCCCUCUUUCUCUCCCUCGGUUUCUAAUAAAUUUUCCACAGCUGUGUAGCUGCCCUCACAGACGUGACGUUUGUAUUCCUCUCAGGCAGCGGCAAUAGCUGGGCGUUUGAAACUGGGUCGGUACAGACAGAAGUUACUAUGGAGACGUGUUUUAUUCUCAGCAUUUGGAUAUUCAGCCUCCUAGGUGCUGCGCUGGGCGACUCUGUCCAGUCCAAGGAACCCGAAGUGUCUGGAUCAGCUGGGGGUUCUGUGACACUCAGCUGUUCUUACACCACCGGCGGUAGCUAUGUCUCUCUCUACUGGUACCGUCAGUAUCCGAACCAGGCCCCGCAGUACAUUCUCUGGAGAGGAGCGAAGUCAGCCAGCCAUCUCAAUGAUACCGCAGAUUUUGCCAAGGAGAGGUUUUCUUCCCAGGCUGAUCACAACUCCACAGUUCUGAAUAUCAGAGCCCUGGAGCUGGCGGACAGCGCGGUGUAUUACUGCGCCCUGCAGAGAGCACAGUGACACAGCCACGUAGCAGAGCCGAACAAAAACCCUCCCUUCCCAGCUGCAGAUAAUGCUGUGCACAUUGAGGUUGGAAGCGGAGCCCCU
Non-coding RNA from Chelonia mydas (Green sea turtle), 748 nucleotides. The record is from the annotation of a RefSeq genome assembly. NCBI's taxonomy places the organism in Eukaryota, Metazoa, Chordata, Testudines, Cheloniidae.